GCUGGGUAUGGUGGUGCACACCUGUAAUUCCAGUAUCUCAGGAGGCUGAGGCAGGAGGAUUGUAUUAUAAGUUCAAGACCAGCCUCCAUAAUUUAGGAAGACCCUGUCUCAA
RNAcentral lists this small RNA (112 nucleotides) under Marmota monax (woodchuck). The record is from RNAcentral. Lineage: Eukaryota; Metazoa; Chordata; Mammalia; Rodentia; Sciuridae.